Molecule: ribosomal RNA, 549 nt
Filed under: uncultured Glomeraceae
Lineage: Eukaryota; Fungi; Glomeromycota; Glomeromycetes; Glomerales; Glomeraceae
Description: SSU rRNA
Rfam family: Eukaryotic small subunit ribosomal RNA
Source: RNAcentral
UUGGAGGGCAAGUCUGGUGCCAGCAGCCGCGGUAAUUCCAGCUCCAAUAGCGUAUAUUAAAGUUGUUGCAGUUAAAAAGCUCGUAGUUGAAUUUCGGGGUUAGUAGGUUGGUCAUGCCUCUGGUAUGUACUGGUCUCACUGAUUCCUCCUUCCUGAUGAGCUGUAAUGCCAUUAAUUUGGUGUUGCGGGGAAUCUGGACUGUUACUUUGAAGAAAUUAGAGUGUUUAAAGCAGGCUAACGCCUGAAUACAUUAGCAUGGAAUAAUGAAAUAGGACGGUCGAUCCUAUUUUGUUGGUUUCUAGGAUUGACGUAAUGAUUAAUAGGGAUAGUUGGGGGCAUUAGUAUUCAAUUGUCAGAGGUGAAAUUCUUGGAUUUAUUGAAGACUAACUACUGCGAAAGCAUUUGCCAAGGAUGUUUUCAUUAAUCAAGAACGAAAGUUAGGGGAUCGAAGACGAUCAGAUACCGUCGUAGUCUUAACCAUAAACUAUGCCGACUAGGGAUCGGAUGAUGUUAAUUUUUUAAUGACUCAUUCGGCGCCUUACGGGAAAC